UACGGGGGGGGCAAGCGUUGUUCGGAAUUACUGGGCGUAAAGGGCGCGUAGGCGGUCUGCUAAGUUGGAUGUGAAAACUCUGGGCUUAACCCAGAGCCUGCAUUCAAUACUGACAGGCUAGAGUUCUGGAGGGGAUAGCGGAAUUCCUGGUGUAGCGGUGAAAUGCGUAGAUAUCAGGAGGAACACCGGUGGCGAAGGCGGCUAUCUGGACAGAAACUGACGCUGAGGCGCGAAAGCUAGGGGAGCAAACAGG
This 253-nucleotide ribosomal RNA is filed under the name uncultured bacterium. RNAcentral describes it as "partial 16S ribosomal RNA". It matches the Rfam family "Bacterial small subunit ribosomal RNA", at positions 524 to 776 of the family's 1533-position model. The record is from RNAcentral.